AGUGAACGCUGGCGGUAGGCCUAACACAUGCAAGUCGAACGGCAGCACAGUAAGAGCUUGCUCUUACGGGUGGCGAGUGGCGGACGGGUGAGGAAUACAUCGGAAUCUACUUUUUCGUGGGGGAUAACGUAGGGAAACUUACUCUACUACCGCAUACGACCUACGGGUGAAAGCAGUGGAUCUUCGGACCUUGCUCGAUUGAAUGAGCCGAUGUCGGAUUAGCUAGUUGGCGGGGUAAAGGCCCACCAAGGCGACGAUCCGUAGCUGGUCUGAGAGGAUGGUCACCCACACUGGAACGGGAACAGGGUCCAGACUCCUACGAGAGGCAGCAGUGGGAAAUAUUAGACAAUGGGCGCAAGCCUGAUCCAGCCAUACCGCGUGGGAGAAGAAGACCUUCGGGUUGUAAAGCCGUUUUGUUGGGAAAGAAAAGCAGCAGGUUAAUACCCCGCUGUUCUGACGGUACCCAAAGAAUAAGCACCGGCUAACUUCGUG
This 492-nucleotide ribosomal RNA is filed under the name uncultured bacterium. RNAcentral's name for it is "partial 16S ribosomal RNA". It matches the Rfam family "Bacterial small subunit ribosomal RNA", at positions 29 to 507 of the family's 1533-position model. The record is from RNAcentral.